GUCUCUGAGUGUGAUUAUUUUCCCUCUCCUUCAAAAAUAUACUUGCAAAUGUUACAUGUUAUAUCCUUUGGGGGAGUCCUGGCCAUCCAUCCAUCCAUCCAUCCAUCUGCCCAUCCACCACCUAUCUGUCAAUCUGUCCAUCUACUCUGUUUGUCCGUCCGUCCGUCCAUCCAUCCAUCCAUCCAUCCAUCCAUCCAUCCAUCCAUCCAUGCAACAAAUGUGUCUGUAGUAUCUUCUAUGUGCUAGACAUUGUGGAAAUUCAUUGAUGAAUAAAACAGGCAGUCUUUGCCCUCACAGUACUUCCAGCUUCUAGAGACUACUAACCAAUUAGACAAAUAAAUGCACCAUUAUAACUGUCGAAGUGCUACAAAGGAGGAGUUCAUGAUGAUAAAAGAUCCUCAUGAUAGAGGCAUGGGACUGAACAGAGUUCCCUGAGGAGCCAUUUGAGCUGAAGGUGAAAGGACAAGCAGAAGUUAACCAGCUAAACAAGGGAGGGAAGAUCAUUCCAAGGAGAGGGAACAUGAUGUGCAACCCCCCUUUGGCAUGAGUGAACUUGGCAAGGGUGAGACACUGCCAUCGGCCAGUGGACUGAAGCCAACAGGAUGAACAAGAAGCCACAGGAAGAUGUUCAUGAUGUGCUUGGACAGACAGGAGCUGGAGGCCGCAGUAAGAUCUCCAUGCUUUACCUUAAGAGGAAUGGGAAGCCACUGGAGGGUUUUGAGCAGGGAAGUGAUGUGAUUUUCAUUUUGCAAAGUACACUGCAAAAUGAAUCUAGAUCAGAAGGGAUAACUGCAUGUGGGAGUACAAGGAAAAAGCAGCCCCCGUGAGAGGGCUGCAGGGGAAAUGGUUUCACCAGGUUAGAUCCAUGGUUUCAAUAAGAGAGAAGGUGGUGUGAAAGGAGAAGACUGACUGAGGAGAAGUCUGCUGGUUUUGGGGGAGUGGUUGUGAGGGUUGUAGCACGCUGAGCUGGGGAAGGCAGGAGCUCUGGCCAGUGAAGGGAUGGCUGAUGGACCCUGGCUGGAGGGCUCACACACUGGAUGUUGACCAACAAAACAGACGAAAAUGAGGAGUAUGAGGAUCUGUCUCAAGGAGGCCUCUGAGGAGGGCAAACAGGCCUUCGAGGCAGGUCCAGACACUGGCACCCUGCCUGCUGUACAGUUUAAUGCACCUGAGGUUGGCAAGCUGGCGUCAGGGAGUGGCCAGAAGCCAGCUUCCAGUUUGAGGCAGUGGGUGAACCUAAAUCACACUAUUUGAUUCACUUCUGUGUUUCUGGAAACUUUCAUGUUCUGAUCAAUGCAAAUAUACCUACUGUAACAGCUGGCAAUGCCCAUGUCUCCACAAGGCCUGAGAAUAUGACCACAAUGGCUGUACAUCUUGCCCAGGCUUCUGCUGGAUGGAGAGCUUCCAGAGAUGGGGGACAGCUUAGUCAAUAUCAUCUAAGAGGAGGUUCAACUCCAGACCUAGACCAGCUAAAGAUCAAAGACAAGGGCAAGAUGCUCUCUGCUGUCAACAUCACACACUUGUCUCAACAGAAGGAAGGAAUUUAUGUAAAAUAAGAAGUGGAAAGAGAAGAACAUCCGUGGCAGUGAGAUGACAUUUCCACCUGCUUCUGAUUCCAUCUAAUAGCCAGUGGAGGUAUGGGGGAGAGAGGAGGGAGACAGGGUGGUUGGGGCUGGAAGAAAUGUUUUCAGCAGAACCAUGCCUCCGAUGGCUCUCAGAACUCAGCCUGGAAAGCAAGCCAGUUCAGAGGCACAGGGAGACUUACAGAGGUGACAUAAAUGAACAAAAAAUAAACUGUGCAUUUGGCAAGAUUGGCACUGUAAGUCUGUGCUGUGAUGAACACAGAUAUUAAACAUGCCCUGUGCCUGCCAGGUGUCACGUUUCCGAAAUCCCUUGCUCUGUCAGAAUUUGCAGAGGAAUGAGCUGGGCUCUGCUAAUUUCUGUUAUUGGUAACAGAUCACAUUUGUAGAGUACUUACGAUGCGCCAGGCACCAUGCUGAGAGGUUUCCGAUCUACUACUCCCCAUAAUCCUCACAUUGCUCUUUAGAGAGAGAGGAGAUGGAGCUCAUUUACCUGAAGCGAUGGAGAACUCUCCCCUUGACUGCACAUCUGUGCAUCUGGUUAAGGAUCAGAACACAAUGGGAAGAGUUCCAAAGCCAACUGACCACCAAAUAGUCUGAGCAUGAUGUGCUCCUGAGGCCCUUAGAGCCAAGGGUCACUCCUAAAACAGAAGAUCAGCUGUCUACCACCCAGGAAUGCGAUUCCUCCCACCUGCUCUGUGUGUGGGCUCUGGGCUACGGGACAGCACAAGCCAGAGAGGCAAGGGGUCAAGGGAGACUCAGGGCUCGCCAACAGGCAGAGCUGUGGCCAGAACUGGCUCUUUCACUGACCAGCUGUGGGACAUCCGGCAGGCUUCUUCACUCCCAGAGCCUCCAUUUCGUCAACAGAAAAUGGAAGUCAUAGUGCCUAGUUCACAGGGGCAAUGUCAGAGUCACAGGAGGUAAUUAUAGCACAUGCCCAGCACUUCACAGGAACUGGGCAGAUUCGAGCACACCUCACACAAUGAGGUCUUUCAUCUUAAGGGGACACAGACACACACACUGAGCAGAGCACCCAGGCUUCAAGUGGAGAACAUUUCCAUCUGUGGCCAAGACUCGGUUCUCUGCCCAGAUCCUCUCAGGUCCCCUCUCUUGCUUCGGCCUGCACAGCCCCCAGGUUUUUCAUGCCUUCACUUCUAGAGGCUGCCUUACUUUUAGAGGGUAAAGUGCCUUGGGGUUACUACCUCUGGAGCAGCCCCAACCAAUGACUGGCAGAUACAGGAGUGUGAGAGUCCAGCUCCCCUGCUUCCAGGUAGGACCAACUCCGAGGUCAGGAUCAGGAUGAGGCUAAGAUGCUCCCUGAGAUCUCACUCUUGCUUCCCUUCUCCUCUUUCCUAUCCUGUCCCAUUUAUUUCCAGUCUCAUUAGGAGCACCUCUCUAACUAAACUAGUUACAUGAUGCCCUCAUUUCAGGGUCUGCUUCUUGAGAAUCCAGCCCAAGAUACCAUCUGACUUCAUCUUGAAUGCCUGAUCCUCCUUGUCCACGUGGGAAAUUCCUUCAAUACUUGUUCAGGGGUCACUCCUUCUGUGAAGCCUGUCUUGACCUCUUUAGUACAGAUACUCUGGGCACAUAUGCAUACAGUGCUGCAGGGGUGUGUGUGUGUGUGCACGUGUGUGUAUAUGUGUGUUGACCUGUUUGGGGCUGUGGAAGUCUUGAGGGUAAAAAUUUCAUUUUGUUCAUAGUUAUUGGGGGUAUAACUAGUCUCUAGUGAAAGCCUCUGAUGAACUGGGUAACCUUCUGAAAAUACAACUUUCCAUAGCAGUGGCUUCUUUAGAGCCCAGGGGUCCAGUGAGCAGGUAUGGAAGCCAACAGGAGGGAGUUCCAGGAACCUAACCCCUGAGUCAACCAAAGCACAUUUCAAUUUAGAAAUGGGUUCCGUCGCCUAAAAAUAAUGAUGAUGAUGAUAAUCAUGAUGAUGACUGGAAACUCUGAUUUAGAGUAAACUGACCAGGACUUGAAGAUUUGGGGAGAAAAAGGCUCAUUUUUCAUGUGGUUCAUCUCCUUGGCCAUCUCUUUAUGCAAUGACAGCCACUAUCAACAGAGUGCCCCUGUGGAUGUGCCAUGCAAGAGGCUUUGCAUCGAGAUGACACUGGAUCCCUCCCAGUCCUCCAGGAUAAGCAUUCCUUACAUGUGACUGGCACCGGUCACUGCACCUUCAAUGAAAUAGACAUACUGUCCACUUGCUCUGUCUCCUCUGCCACCCUGACCUCUUGCCAGGUGAUAGUCACAGCCUUCUAACCAGCUCCUUAUUUCCACCCUUGCCCCUACAACCCACCAUCCACACAAUGGCCUAUCAUUUUUAAAGAACAUACAUUGGAUCAUGCCAUUCCCUGCUCCAAACAGAAGCUUUCAAUGGCUUUCCUUUGUAACGGCCCAGUGGUGUUACCUGGGGUGGACCCUGCCUAGGUCCACCGUGGUUCUCUUCACUGCUCACCAGCUUCCUGCUACCUGGUUUUUCUGUGCCUUGAAGAGGCCAAGCCUUUUGGGGCUCCAUACAACUCUCCUCCCCAACUGGGACACUCUUCCUCACGCUUGGCAAGUGAAUUCCUUCUCAUCUGCCAGUCUCAGCUUCCUUGGAGAAACAUUCCUCGACCCCCAAUCUAAAGCAGGCUACUCCCUGGGGACUAACCUCAACUAGAAAUAGAAUCCUUGUUUGCAUCCUUGAUGACUGCUGCCUCCUCGGCCAACUCCGGGAGGGCAGGCCAGGGAUCAUGUCUCUUUUGUUACCCAUCGAGUCUCCAGUGCCUAGCACAGUGCCUGGCUCUUAGCAAGCCCUCAAUAAAUAUUCAUCAUACAAAUAAGCAAAUGAUGACCAUUAGAAAAUAUGACUCAUAUGUUUGGCAAACUAUACCGAGAGUUUUCUCAAUUCUUGAUGGUCAGAGCUUAAUUCUCACAUGUGGGGAGGUGGGUGAGGAGAAAGAACUGCCCACCACCCACUACUGAUGGCAUACGUUGGGGUGGUGUUGACCCUUCAACAACCCUCCUCUUCAUCCUACAUCUCAGCAUAAUGUGAGGUUCAAGGGGGAAAGAUUAUAUUGUCAUAUGGAACAUGAUUGUAACUAUAAUUGGUCACAUAAAGGAUAAAUAACAAGUCAUAGUCUAUUUCAUGACAGUAAAAGCGGUAAACUUUGCCUCUAGAAGCAGUCCACCAAAUGAAUGGUAAGUGGCAUUUUUGUGGAGUAAUCUUGCUGGCCAUGUCGACAGAUGCCUCUCUGGUUGAGAUACCAGGCUUGUAUCUUUGGUGGGGAGUGUUAGGGAGUGGUGUGGAAGGGCAAGUCACAUGUGGGCAGGACUGCAGAGGUGCUGUGCCACCCUAAGCAGCAGCUGUGCACCAGCCCUUCUUCUAGGAGCUUCAUGCUGGUAUCACUGAACCUUCUCAGCAACUCCAGGAAGUAGAAAUGUUUCUGCCUGACUCCAGAGCACAAGGUGAAGAGAAGCUAGGGACAGCUGUAUCCCGUGUCCAGGACACCAUGCCAGACUUCCUGCGCCUGGACAUAGCCUAUAGCCCUCAGGUUUCCGGAUCCCUCUGAUUUUCGGUCUGGUUUUCCAGUCUUCCAGUGCAAUUCUGAGCACUUCCACUGGAUAGCCUUCAAAUCCAUUCUGAUUCUGCUGAAAUGCGACAGAGCCAGUCUUUCCGGCUGGCACUGAAGACCUCAGUCUGGUGCACACUCCACAUGGCAGCCGCUUACGGACUCAUCUGUGGACUUACAAGUUUAUCAUGUAUUCCGCUAUUUGAAAAUAUCAAGAAAAUAGCAAGAAUUCUUGCACGCUUCUCAUACAGGAGUUUGAGAAGACGGGAGUUUGAGGGGAUGUCUUGCAGUAACAGAGCUGAUUCCAUAAAGUCUUGAUUUGCCUUGGGGGAGUUCCUGGCCUCAGAUGAUGGGGUCCUUUCCUCUUCUGUGGACCUCAGUAACCAAUUCAGGGAUCAGAGAAGGCGCCUUCACCCCUCAACAUCAUCUGAUAUCUUUUUAUGGCUGCAUGAAGACAGAUGAACAUCUCCAGAGCCUACUCAUUUUCUUUCUGAAGGCCUUCUCAGAGAUAAAUUCCUUUCCUUUCUGCAGGCCAGAUUUCCAGGGCAUGAUUAACUACAUUUCUCCUGUUCUUCAUCUUUAGAGUUUCUGUGGGCCUCAAACAACACUUUCUGAAUUUUCCCCUCUCACCCCCUACUCACUCCCUGAAAGGUAAAUAGAGUUAGGUUGAAGAUGUAAUUCAACAUGUACUUGGCACCUCGCAACCAGCACUUUGAUUCUGCAGUCACGCAGGUCUCACAUGGCAUUCUCAGGUUUGGGUCUGUACAGAGCCAGGUCCGGCUGUGGCUGAUCCUAGACAUAUGCUAACACGCUCCCUGAGAAAGGCCCUGGAGCCAGUCAUUAGUGAACCAGGCAAAGCCUCAAGAAUCUAUGCCCUAUUUCUAGUUAUUCAUCCAAAUGCUGUGUAAAGCACAACUUGAACCAUGGCAUAAAAAUAAAAGAUAUAAAGAAUCAUAGGACACGUGUGCAUGCUCUGGGCGCCCCAGAGGUUUCCUGCGCCAGUGUUCCCAUGUGUGGCAUAAACCUGAGGGCCUUAUGUUAUGAGGAGAUGGGGGCUGCGGUGACUCACAGGAUCAGGCAUUUCAACCUAGAGAACCCAGCGGAAUGGGAAAUCAGCAAGAUGAAGCCCUCUCCUGCUCCCAGGCAGUCCUCUACCAACAGCCUCCUGUGACAGCAGAUUAGUCUCUACCCAGAAGGGAGAGACUGCUCAUAAAGGUGACAAGCUGCUGUCAUUUCUAAAAGACGUGUAUGUUGAUUCCAAAGAUCCCGUGUCUUCCGCGCAGGUAAAAGCUUCUGAAACAACACGUCAAGAGCCAAAGGAAUUCAGAUUGCUGAAAGGCCAUCACUUUGGUAUGAUAAAUAUUAAGAGCAUUCCCAAAGGCAAAAUUUCCAUUGUAGAAGCAUUGACACUUCUCAAUAAUCAUAAAUUUUUUCCAGAAACAUGGACUGCUGAGAAAAUAGCACAAGAAUACCAUUUAGAACAGAAAGAUGUGAAUUUCCUUCUUAAAUAUUUUGUUACUUUUGAAGUCAAAAUCUUCCUUCCUGAAGACAAGCAAGCAAUACAAUCAAAUGAAGAAAAUCACAAAAAUUUCCUAUGUGUACUCCUCAUCCCUCAUCCUGUAUAUUUUCUCAUUUUUGGCAUAUUAAAUUAUGUUAAUUACCAAGUGUUUAAUGCUCUCAUUGUGAGAGCAUAC
Molecule: long non-coding RNA, 6822 nt
Organism: Macaca mulatta (Rhesus monkey)
Lineage: Eukaryota; Metazoa; Chordata; Mammalia; Primates; Cercopithecidae
Source: RefSeq, a predicted model, not a curated record